GCCUAAUACAUGCAGUCGGACGCAAUGCUUCGGCAUUGAGUGGCGAACGGGUGAGUAAUACAUAAGCAACCUGCCCCUGUGAGGGGGAUAACUGCUGGAAACGGCAGCUAAGACCGCAUAGGCAUACAUGACGCAUGUCGAGUAUGUUAAAUAUCCUACGGGAUAGCACAGGGAUGGGCUUAUGACGCAUUAGCUAGCUGGUGAGGUAGAGGCUCACCAGGGCGACGAUGCGUUGCCGGCCUGAGAGGGUGGACGGCCACACUGGGACUGAGACACGGCCCAGACUCCUACGGGAGGCAGCAGUAGGGAAUUUUCGGCAAUGGGCGAAAGCCUGACCGAGCAACGCCGCGUGAAGGAAGAAGUCAUUCGUGAUGUGAACUUCUGUUAUAAAGGAAGAACGGCGCCUGUAGGGAAUGACAGGCGAGUGACGGUACUUUAUGAGGAAGCCACGGCUAACUACGUGCCAGCAGCCGCGGUAAUACGUAGGUGACGAGCGUUAUCCGGAAUCAUUGGGCGUAAAGAGGGAGCAGGCGGCAGUGCAGGUCUGCGGUGAAAGCCCGAAGCUAAACUUCGGUAAGCCGUGGAAACCGCACAGCUAGAGAGCAUCAGAGGAUCGCGGAAUUCCAUGUGUAGCGGUGAAAUGCGUAGAUAUAUGGAGGAACACCAGUGGCGAAGGCGGCGGUCUGGGGUGCAGCUGACGCUCAGUCCCGAAAGCGUGGGGAGCAAAUAGGAUUAGAUACCCUAGUAGUCCACGCCGUAAACGAUGAGUGCUAAGUGUUGGGGGGUCAGGCCUCAGUGCUGCAGUUAACGCAAUAAGCACUCCGCCUGANUAGUACGUUCGCAAGAAUGAAACUCAAAGGAAUUGACGGGGGCCCGCACAAGCGGUGGAGCAUGUGGUUUAAUUCGAAGCAACGCGAAGAACCUUACCAGGUCUUGACAUGGAGAUAAAGGGCUCUGGAGACAGAGAGAUAGCUAUAUCUC
This 981-nucleotide ribosomal RNA is filed under the name uncultured bacterium. RNAcentral describes it as "bacterial SSU rRNA". It matches the Rfam family "Bacterial small subunit ribosomal RNA", at positions 46 to 1031 of the family's 1533-position model. The record is from RNAcentral.